Molecule: ribosomal RNA, 401 nt
Filed under: Vibrio hepatarius
Lineage: Bacteria; Pseudomonadati; Pseudomonadota; Gammaproteobacteria; Vibrionales; Vibrionaceae
Description: bacterial SSU rRNA
Rfam family: Bacterial small subunit ribosomal RNA
Source: RNAcentral
CUACUCUUGACAUCCAGAGAACUUUCCAGAGAUGGAUUGGUGCCUUCGGGAACUCUGAGACAGGUGCUGCAUGGCUGUCGUCAGCUCGUGUUGUGAAAUGUUGGGUUAAGUCCCGCAACGAGCGCAACCCUUAUCCUUGUUUGCCAGCGAGUAAUGUCGGGAACUCCAGGGAGACUGCCGGUGAUAAACCGGAGGAAGGUGGGGACGACGUCAAGUCAUCAUGGCCCUUACGAGUAGGGCUACACACGUGCUACAAUGGCGCAUACAGAGGGCGGCCAACUUGCGAAAGUGAGCGAAUCCCAAAAAGUGCGUCGUAGUCCGGAUUGGAGUCUGCAACUCGACUCCAUGAAGUCGGAAUCGCUAGUAAUCGUGGAUCAGAAUGCCACGGUGAAUACGUUCCC